GCUACGGGAUGCAGCAGUGAGGAAUAUUGGUCAAUGGCCGGAAGGCUGAACCAGCCAUGCCGCUUGAAGGUCAGUGCCCUAUGGGCGUUAAACUUCUUUUGUGCGGGAGCAAUAAUGGUCACGUGUGGCCAGCCGAGAGUACCGUACGAAUAAGCAUCGGCUAACUCCGUGCAAGCAGCCGCGGUAAUCCGGGGGCUGCAAGCGUUAUCCGGAUUUAUUGGGUGUAAAGGGCGUGUAGGCGGGAGAGCAAGUCAGACGUGAAAGUCCAGGGCUCAACCCUGGAACUGCGUUUGAAAAGGUUCUUCUUGAGUGAUGGAGAGGCAGGCGGAAUUCCGUGGGUAGCGGUGAAAGGCGUAGAUAUACGGAGGAACACCAGUGGCGAAGGCGGCCUGCUGGACAUUAACUGACGCUGAGGCGCGAAAGCGUGGGGAGCAAACAGGAUUAGAUACCCUUGUAGUC
RNAcentral lists this ribosomal RNA (459 nucleotides) under uncultured bacterium. Its description in RNAcentral is "partial 16S ribosomal RNA". It matches the Rfam family "Bacterial small subunit ribosomal RNA", at positions 338 to 795 of the family's 1533-position model. The record is from RNAcentral.